GACGAACGCUGGCGGCGUGCUUAACACAUGCAAGUCGAACGGAAAGGCCCUGCUUUUGUGGGGUGCUCGAGUGGCGAACGGGUGAGUAACACGUGAGUAACCUGCCCUUGACUUUGGGAUAACUUCAGGAAACUGGGGCUAAUACCGGAUAGGAGCUCCUGCUGCAUGGUGGGGGUUGGAAAGUUUCGGCGGUUGGGGAUGGACUCGCGGCUUAUCAGCUUGUUGGUGGGGUAGUGGCUUACCAAGGCUGUGACGGGUAGCCGGCCUGAGAGGGUGACCGGCCACAUUGGGACGGAGAUACGGCCCAGGCACCUACGGGAGGCAGCAGUGGGGAGGAUUGCACAAUGGGCGGAAGCCUGAUGCAGCAACGCCGCGUGCGGGAUGACGGCAUUCGGGUUGUAAACCGCUUUCGCCUGUGACGAAGCGUGAGUGACGGUAAUGGGUAAAGAAGCACCGGCUAACUACGU
RNAcentral lists this ribosomal RNA (467 nucleotides) under uncultured bacterium. Its description in RNAcentral is "partial 16S ribosomal RNA". It matches the Rfam family "Bacterial small subunit ribosomal RNA", at positions 28 to 506 of the family's 1533-position model. The record is from RNAcentral.